CCCCAGGAGAGGAUGUAGGCCCCUCCGGGACCUCCAAACGCAGCUUCCCUGGGGGUGAUGAGCAGCGUCCGAGACCUCUUGCUUCAGCUUCUCCGCGUUUGGCAAAACAUAAGCUUCUGAGAGUUCCUGGCCACCCACCACCUCCCAGGAGCCUUCACUCCGCCCUUUUCAUCCCGACACCUGACCCAGCUGGGGACGUGAUCAAAUAUCUGAACUCGGAACAGCAUCGUCAGUUUCUGAGGCCGCCAGCAAAUCAUCUACAC
Molecule: non-coding RNA, 263 nt
Organism: Kogia breviceps (pygmy sperm whale)
Lineage: Eukaryota; Metazoa; Chordata; Mammalia; Artiodactyla; Physeteridae
Source: RefSeq, a predicted model, not a curated record